AUGCAUCUUUUUGACAUACAUUUUCCUCAGGCUUUUAGAUUGCCAAUGUUGUCUCUUGCCCUGCAUAUUGUCGGAAACACACUCCCUUCCACGUUAAUUUGUCAUCUUGUGGUCAUAAUGUUUUUUUAUACCUUUAAGCUUUGUUUGGGAGUUUGGAGGGGAGGGGUGAUAAACUUUUUAUUUUUUUGA
Non-coding RNA from Vicia faba (fava bean), 189 nucleotides. Lineage: Eukaryota; Viridiplantae; Streptophyta; Magnoliopsida; Fabales; Fabaceae. The record is from the annotation of a GenBank genome assembly.